GAUGAACGCUAGCGGCAGGCCUAACACAUGCAAGUCGAGGGAGGAGCUUUCGGGCUUCGACCGGCGUACGGGUGCGUAACGCGUAUACAAUCUGCCUUUCACAUAGGGAUAGCCCGAAGAAAUUUGGAUUAAUACCUAAUGGUAUAUAGAGGUGGCAUCACCUUUAUAUUAAAGCUGAGGCGGUGAAAGAUGAGUAUGCGUUCUAUUAGCUAGUUGGAGAGGUAACGGCUCCCCAAGGCGACGAUAGAUAGGGGUUCUGAGAGGGAUAUCCCCCACACUGGUACUGAGAUACGGACCAGACUCCUACGGGAGGCAGCAGUGAGGAAUAUUGGACAAUGGCCGGAAGACUGAUCCAGCCAUGCCGCGUGCAGGAAGACGGCCUUAUGGGUUGUAAACUGCUUUUGCAGGGGAAGAAUAAGGACUACGCGUAGUUUGAUGACGGUACUCUGCGAAUAAGCAUCGGCUAACUCCGUG
This 474-nucleotide ribosomal RNA is filed under the name uncultured bacterium. RNAcentral's name for it is "partial 16S ribosomal RNA". It matches the Rfam family "Bacterial small subunit ribosomal RNA", at positions 28 to 507 of the family's 1533-position model. The record is from RNAcentral.